CAGGAAAUAGUUUAAAAAAAAUUUUAAUUUUGGAGAUUAAGGAUGAACUUAGGUUUUUUCCUGA
This 64-nucleotide transfer RNA is filed under the name Tenebrionoidea sp. 2 KM-2017. RNAcentral describes it as "tRNA-Pro". Lineage: Eukaryota; Metazoa; Arthropoda; Insecta; Coleoptera. The record is from RNAcentral.